This 315-nucleotide ribosomal RNA is filed under the name uncultured eukaryote. Its description in RNAcentral is "partial 18S ribosomal RNA". It matches the Rfam family "Eukaryotic small subunit ribosomal RNA", at positions 1470 to 1796 of the family's 1831-position model. The record is from RNAcentral.
CCCUUAGACGUUCUGGGCCGCACGCGCGCUACACUGACCGGUGCAACAAGCAUCCGUCCUUGGCCGACAGGCCCGGGCAAUCUUUGAACGCCGGUCGUGAUGGGGAUAGACUUUUGCAAUUUUUGGUCUUCAACGAGGAAUUCCUAGUAAACACAAGUCAUCAACUUGCAUUGAUUACGUCCCUGCCCUUUGUACACACCGCCCGUCGCACCUACCGAUUGAAUGGUCCGGUGAAGCCUCCGGAUUGGCGCGCACCUCGGUGCCGCCGAGAAGUUGGCUAAACCUUACCAUUUAGAGGAAGGUGAAGUCGUAACA